RNAcentral lists this ribosomal RNA (459 nucleotides) under uncultured bacterium. RNAcentral's name for it is "partial 16S ribosomal RNA". It matches the Rfam family "Bacterial small subunit ribosomal RNA", at positions 338 to 795 of the family's 1533-position model. The record is from RNAcentral.
CCUACGGGGAGCUGCAGUGAGGAAUAUUGGUCAAUGGACGAGAGUCUGAACCAGCCAAGUAGCGUGAAGGAUGACUGCCCUAUGGGUUGUAAACUUCUUUUAUAUGGGAAUAAAACGUUCCACGUGUGGGAUUUUGUAUGUACCAUAUGAAUAAGGAUCGGCUAACUCCGUGCCAGCAGCCGCGGUAAUACGGAGGAUCCGAGCGUUAUCCGGAUUUAUUGGGUUUAAAGGGAGCGUAGGUGGAUUGUUAAGUCAGUUGUGAAAGUUUGCGGCUCAACCGUAAAAUUGCAGUUGAAACUGGCAGUCUUGAGUACAGUAGAGGUGGGCGGAAUUCGUGGUGUAGCGGUGAAAUGCUUAGAUAUCACGAAGAACUCCGAUUGCGAAGGCAGUUCACUGGACUGCAACUGACACUGAGGCUCGAAAGUGUGGGUAUCAAACAGGAUUAGAUACCCGGGUAUC